RNAcentral lists this ribosomal RNA (324 nucleotides) under uncultured eukaryote. RNAcentral's name for it is "partial 18S ribosomal RNA". It matches the Rfam family "Eukaryotic small subunit ribosomal RNA", at positions 1470 to 1796 of the family's 1831-position model. The record is from RNAcentral.
CCCUUAGAUGUUCUGGGCCGCACGCGCGCUACACUGAUGCAUUCAACGAGUUUCUUCCUGGUCCGAGAGGAAUGGGUAACCUUUUGAAAGUGCAUCGUGAUAGGGAUAGACUAUUGCAAUUAUUGGUCUUCAACGAGGAAUUCCUAGUAGACGUAGUUCAUCAGACUGCAUCGAUUACGUCCCUGCCCUUUGUACACACCGCCCGUCGCUCCUACCGAUUGAAAGCUCAGGUGAGCCAUUCGGACUUUCAUCAUGCUGGUUUCCAGUUUUGAUGAAGGAAAGUCUUGCGAACCUUAUCAUUUAGAGGAAGGAGAAGUCGUAACA